CAAAUUAUUUAAAAUUUAUAAGAUUAAAUUUAACAACUUUAGUUUGCUUUUUUUAUUAAAUUAUAAUCAAUUAUCUAGCCAUAAUUAAGUAAAGUAACUUUACCUUUGGAUUCAAAGAUGCAAGCUCCCUUAUACAUCCAACAAUAGUUUUAGGGUCGAACUCAAUUGCUGUGAAUGCUGAAUUCGUUCAUGAAAUAUUUAUCAAUAAAUUAAAAAAAUAAAGAGUGAAAAACAGGAAAAAUCUUUUUAAUUGUGCUCCAUCCCAUCUUUCCAAACUGUGACCUACAGUGCCUUUAAAUUAAUUGAUAUAGGAAGUUUAUAAGUUAUAUAUAUACUGCAGUGAUCUAAAAAUAGCAAAUUUGGACUAAAAAUCUUGUUAGUGUAUUGAAUCAGAUAGCCUAUCCACGUCUGCUUUAAAAAUCCACCAAUAACAUCAUCUGUUUUUGCCACGUCAGCCACCCUUUCAUGUCGAUUCCAUUUGUCUUCCUCUUCGUCGAUUCUCUUUCUCCCUAACGAUCGUUGAUCGAUCAAACAUCUCCAACUCUUCUGCAAUCAAACCUUCGCCCUUUCUUCUUUCUUCAAACCCGAAGAAACCAAAAGGCGUUGAAGCUGACUCCUCUCCCGGGCCGAUCAAGCCCAACUGCACACCCUAUGUCUCUGCCGGCCUCUCGAUCGGUGAUCCCCACUCAAAGAAAGCCAAAAGCAGAGAGUCGAUCACCUCUUCCAGAGUCUGACCAAACCCUUUCGUUAUCAGCUUUGUGUUUUAAGAUUGGGUGAUCAAGACUACUUCAACUUUAGUUGUCCCCCUUUGAAAAUGUCUUCCUCCAGUGCAAUUUGGUCGCCUCUUCUCAGGUGAUUGUCGGCCAGCUCCUUUGUUUCUGGCAUUCACAAAACAUCAAGAAGAAUAGAGAAUUUGUGGGUACCUUGAUGCUACUUAAUGAACAGGUAUCAAGGUCCAUGUUUAUUGGAUGCAGUUGACUCUACCAAGUCUCCUGAUAGAGACGUCUCAAAGCCUCUGCUCAUACCUAUAUGUGACAUUGUAAGAUCAACUUCACAAGGGCAUGUAUCAGCAUGUGACAAACCUGUUGCUGGAGCUGUUCUGUGAGGAUCCAAUCGUACAGAACUACUACUUCCUGUACACGUUAUAUUUGGUUGUUAUGGAAUGUUUCUAAGUUCUAUUUGUUGUCAUUAGCUAUAAAUUGAAAAAUAAUUCUGAUGGAUUUUCUUUUAGUAUAUUGUUUAAGGAUACAUACGAGACUGCGUCAACUGAUGGCUUACUUUACUGAAACAUUUUGACGGGUAAUGAUAUGCCAUAAGGAGAUCAAGGAACCGUGUCUCUAGAGCGUGGCUUUCAGGGUUGAACCAUUAUGAGAGCUGGAGAUAACAUAGCAAUAGCGUUGCAAGAGACUGAUGCAAAUCAAGUAAUGACAGGAGGUUGUAGUGCCAUCCUGAUUACCCGGUUUCAAUAGCAAAUUUGGACUAAAAAUCAGGGAUUCAAGAAGUAAAGAGUUUCAAGAAGAGAGUAAAAAAGACCAUAAUGGUGGAAGAAGACACUAUUAUAUGGAGUUUUUUUCUUUGUGCUCGCACGAAAAAAGAGGCGGUUGGGCAGAGGGUUUAGAUGAAGGAAUGGAAAAUGGAGAAGGAAAUAAGGUGCAGUUCGACGGAAAUGAAGUUCACGAGUUUGUUUUUUGCGGUGAAAGACACUAUGAAUCCUCAGAGAUUUACAGUUUACCGGGUGUGUUAAACUGGGAAACCUAUGCUCUAAAAUCAGAAGGUACUGCUCCGUUUAGUGACCAUCUUGGUCAGUUAAACUACACCAUUUGAUCUGAUGCCAUCAUUGCCAUCGCAUAAGAACAUAAACAACAAAUUCAAUGUCAAAUGUAUUAUCAGAAUUUUAUUCUGGUCGACGAAAACGAUUGCUGUUACUUCCAAGCAACAAAAAAUCACGUUGUACAAGCUCAAGUUGGAGACAUCUUGAUGUUUACAGAAAAAGAAAAAGACAAGCGAAAUUUUUGGAAUUUUGUUAAGCGUUUUUCUUCUUUUUCUGUAUGCAAUUGUUGGAGACUUGGAAUCUGGAAGUUAAAUAAUGUAAGUUUGUGCAAAGACAAGUACUGCUGUUUGGUUUGUUUGGAUUCAUCAUUCAUGUAAUUAUUAUUCUCUUUUCUUU
Molecule: long non-coding RNA, 2167 nt
Organism: Raphanus sativus (radish)
Lineage: Eukaryota; Viridiplantae; Streptophyta; Magnoliopsida; Brassicales; Brassicaceae
Exons: 4
Source: RefSeq, a predicted model, not a curated record